GGUAUAGUUAAUCUGCCCUACACAAGAGGACAACAGUUGGAAACGACUGCUAAUACUCUAUACUCCUGCUUAACACAAGUUGAGUAGGGAAAGUUUUUCGGUGUAGGAUGAGACUAUAUAGUAUCAGCUAGUUGGUAAGGUAAUGGCUUACCAAGGCUAUGACGCUUAACUGGUCUGAGAGGAUGAUCAGUCACACUGGAACUGAGACACGGUCCAGACUCCUACGGGAGGCAGCAGUAGGGAAUAUUGCGCAAUGGGGGAAACCCUGACGCAGCAACGCCGCGUGGAGGAUGACACUUUUCGGAGCGUAAACUCCUUUUCUUAGGGAAGAAUUCUGACGGUACCUAAGGAAUAAGCACCGGCUAACUCCGUGCCAGCAGCCGCGGUAAUACGGAGGGGUGCAAGCGUUACUCGGAAUCACUGGGCGUAAAGGGCGCGUAGGCGGAUUAUCAAGUCUCUUGUGAAAUCUAAUGGCUUACCCAUU
RNAcentral lists this ribosomal RNA (484 nucleotides) under Campylobacter sp. S2s 11. RNAcentral's name for it is "bacterial SSU rRNA". It matches the Rfam family "Bacterial small subunit ribosomal RNA", at positions 114 to 617 of the family's 1533-position model. Lineage: Bacteria; Pseudomonadati; Campylobacterota; Epsilonproteobacteria; Campylobacterales; Campylobacteraceae. The record is from RNAcentral.